Molecule: long non-coding RNA, 1066 nt
Filed under: Homo sapiens (human)
Lineage: Eukaryota; Metazoa; Chordata; Mammalia; Primates; Hominidae
Description: HSALNT0094716
Source: RNAcentral
UUCUAUUAAAGAAUUUCAGGCCAGGCGCAGUGGCUCGCGCCUGUAAUCCCAGCACUUUGGGAGGCCGAGGCAGGUAGAUCACCUGAGGUCAGGAGUUCGAGACUAGCCUGGCCAACAUGGCGAAAACCCCUCUCUACUAAAAAUAUAAAAAAUUACCUGGGCGAAAUGGCACGCGCCUGUAAUCGCAGCUACUCGGGAGGGUGAGGCAGGAGAAUAGCGUGAACCCAGGAGAUGGAGGUUGCAGUGAGCCGAGAUCGCGCCACUCCACUCCGGGCUCGGCGAUACAGCGAGACUCCGUGUCGAAAAAACAAAACAAAACAAAACAUUUCAAACUGAAAUGGGCGGUUAAAAUGCAACUUAAAAUGAGAUGGUGAGUUUAACGCACCACUUUUCCACUAGGUGGUGCUGCAUGUUAAAACUUUCCCUCCAUUUACUCCAAAAUAUUAAUUUCUACAGCAGGAAAACUGACGGCCCCUUGGAAAAGGAAAGAAAAGUCAAUAUGUCACCAAAAAAGACAAUUUAUUAAUAACUCCUCCAAAACCUCUGUGGGUUCCCCUUGGAGUGAAGCGCGAGCAGGGAGCCGCCAUAGGGAGCCAGGCCCGCAGCGCCGUUCGUCCUCAGCACAACGAGCGGCAGCGGGCACCGAAUUGUUCUGCAACUACUUUUCACAUCUGCCUUUUGUAGUUGCUGAACAAAAUUCGUUCCCAUUUGUUUCCGGUUGGCAAGUUCGUAGGCUUCGGCGGAAGUGUAAAGUCAAGGGCAAGUGGCGGAGGCUGCGGCCACCCCGGUCUCUGAGCGGCGCACCGGACAGGUGGUCAGUCCCGGGACGCGGUGACCCGACGCCCGAGCUCCAAGGCUCGGCCCACGCCGGGUUCGCCCCAGUCCCGCUGGUCCCUCAGCCGACGCCGCCGGGCCUCGCACCGCCCCCCGACCCCGGACCCCCACCCACGCGGCCGCUGUGCACUCACCAUGGCCGCUAGCCCUAGGCUCUGGCCUCGCAGCGCCGCCAACAAGCGCCGCGUCGCCCCGAGCGCCCCGAGCACCGCCGCCAUUGGCCGUCUGCCGA